Molecule: microRNA precursor, 97 nt
Filed under: Ailuropoda melanoleuca (giant panda)
Lineage: Eukaryota; Metazoa; Chordata; Mammalia; Carnivora; Ursidae
Description: mir-544 microRNA precursor family
Rfam family: mir-544 microRNA precursor family
Source: Rfam by way of RNAcentral
AUUACCUGGGGAUCUUAUUAAAAUGCAGUUUCUGAUUCAGUAGGCCUGGAAAAGGGUCUGAGAGUCUGCAUUUGUAAUAAGCUCCCAGGUGAGCUGA